Long non-coding RNA from Triticum aestivum (bread wheat), 1161 nucleotides. RefSeq lists it as uncharacterized. The transcript is spliced from 7 exons. NCBI's taxonomy places the organism in Eukaryota, Viridiplantae, Streptophyta, Magnoliopsida, Poales, Poaceae. The record is from RefSeq and is a predicted model, not a curated record.
GUGCGGUUCGCAGCCCCCGUCCUCCCGCGGCCCGCGCGGUUCGACGCCGCCCCGCCGUACUCCGUGCCCACGUGGUUCGCCGCCGCCCCGCCGCGCGCGGUUGGCCCCCGCCGCCGCCCCCGCUGCCGCGAGCGUGAGCAGAUGAGCAGCCCCCCCGCUGGUCCUCCUCUGCUGCCCCCGCCUCAGAUGCACACUUCUCUAGAAGUGCAGGCAGCCAGCAGCGAAGGCGAUCUGCUAGGCGUUUCAUCUCCAACCUCACGCAGUAGGCACUACCGUUCGAUUCCAUCAUCAAGGUCAGCAACAUCGUCGUCGUGCUUUAGUGAGUAUCCAUGGAGCUUCUCCACGGUGAUGGUGUGGAAGGCGCUGAUGCCCUGUCCGUUGGGCUCGGUUCGGGCGUCAUUGACAUGUAUGAGAUGAGGAAACGUAGAAGGGAAGGUGAUUUCUGCGGGAGGAGCAAGAGGCGAUCCGGCUAACAAGUCGUAUAUUUGGGGUAGUGUGUAGGAUCUUCACAGUUUCAAAUACGGCUAUUCCUGGCACCGCUAUCUCUUGCGUGAAUGUCCUCUUGGUUUCAAUGUCGGUGCCUACAUCAAUGUUCUACCAUGAUGUUAUCAGUUUAAGCUCCUACCAUGGUCAGUCAUAAAGCAUCAAAAUCUAGCUACAACAUAUGUUGAUGUUUGCAGCCAAACCAAGGUUAAAUUAUGAACAACUGAUAUUUAUAGCGAAGUUGGUGAUCAGAUCGGAUUCGAGGAUCAUCCUCUCUCAUGUGUUACGUAUUAGUGAUGCCUACAUGACGGUGGAAAAUGUACGAAUAUGCAGCGUUGACAGUAACAAGGAAAAAAUGAUGUUUCAUUUUGUCUGUUUGGCUCUGAGAUAUAUUAAAAUUGGACAUAUCCAGUGAGGCGGCUUGAUGGAUCAUUGGCCUCAUGGCAAAAUUGGGGACGGAGGAGGGAGGAGGCUUCAUAUAAGCAUGACUUCAAAAGCUCAGGGAGAUCAAACCGAAGAAAGACAACACUCAGCGCAACAUGCUCGUGUCGAUGAUAUGGGUGCAGAGGAAGACUGUGAGGAUGAUCAGUGAGAGCAGAUUUGCUAGAAUAUCACUUUGCAAAACCCAUGAUCCAAUCCAUGUUUUGUCCUUACAAAUAGAUAAAUGCAUGAAGGGAU